UAACGUACGUACGUAGUACGUACGUACGUACGUUACGUACGUACGGAACGAACUUAAUACCGUAAAGGUGAGCUAAUGCCGGAUGAGUUAUAUAAGUGCAUGUUUAUAUAGGAAAAGUUGGGAGACCUGACGCUGAAAGAUGGACUCGCGUCCCAUUAGCUAGUUGGUAGGGUAAUGGCCUACCAAGGCGACGAUGGGUAGCCGGCCUGAGAGGGUGGCCGGCCACACUGGGACUGAGACACGGCCCAGACUCCUACGGAAGGCAGCAG
Molecule: ribosomal RNA, 269 nt
Filed under: uncultured bacterium
Lineage: Bacteria
Description: partial 16S ribosomal RNA
Rfam family: Bacterial small subunit ribosomal RNA
Source: RNAcentral